UCUAAAAUCCCAUAGUCCGCCAACACUUAGCCAAAUAAUUCAGAAAAACGCCUUUUCCUCUUUCUCUAGUCUCUACAUCUAUCUCUCAAUACUUUUUUCACGCUCUCUCCUUCAACCCUAAUCCCCUUUCUCUAUCUCCAAAACUUAAACCCAUAGGCAAUAAAAAAAAAAAAAUCAGAUCUGAUCUUCCUAUUGUCUACGUCGAUGACCAGCCCAGAAUCAAACCCAGAUCUUCUUCAACCUCUUCUCAUCGUCUUCUAUUUCUUUUCUCCUCCUUCUCGGCUCAUAACCUUCGACCACAUCACCAUUAAACACUAUAAUUAUUUUUCCUUCACCUGUACUCAGAAAUUUCUCCGAUUUGGUAUUAUUUGAACUCAAAUCUCCUUCAUCCUGAGUUGAGUCUGAGUUUACUCGCCGUCCGAGCUAUUGCAAAGAGGACUCAGAUCUGAUUUUGUAUCCCACGAUAUAGCGAUUAUGAAGCCAGAGAGAGAGACGAAGAGAGGAGUCUGGGUUCGAUAAAAUUGGCGGAGGGAGAAAGAAAGAGUCUUGGUUCUUACUCUUAUCUUAGUUAACAUCUUAUUGUUGACAUAUUUAUUUUAUGUCAACUAGAACAUGAUCUGACUUGUUACAACAUAUAUAAGUGUUAUCCAUUGGAUUGAAUUCUGCAAUAUUUAGGUUUGCAAAGAUAAAUUUCUUAGGAAGUUUGAAUUUGUUCUCACGGAUUAGGAUUUAGGACAAGUUUUUGGUUUCUAAACAACAUUGUGUAUUGUUCUUUCUUGUUGUGGUGUGUAAGGAGCAAAGGAUAGUGAAAGCAGAAGAGUGGGAUUCGUUAAUGGAGAUCCUUCUUAAGCCAUUGUCUGCUGCUUUCAGAGUUAUUUCCAAUUGCUUAUUGGUUAAUUUGCGAUGAUCUUCGACUCAAGUUGGAGAAUGAUUUCAUGAAAUCUCUUCAGGAUGAGCUGCUUGAAAUAAUUCAUGAAUCAUCAGAAUCAGGAUCUCUACCUAAUGGAAUGGUGGUGGUGAAUGAACUGCAACAACAACGAUACUUUGUCCAAAGAAGCAUCUGAGGUUAAUCAUCAUCUGAGUUACAUGUAUAUGUUCUAGAACUUAGAAGUUUGUCUCUAUUUUUUGGUGAUGUUAGUUUAUUUUAAUUAAGAUUUUUAUGUAAGACUUUAUGUUAUGUAAGACUUCAUUUUGUUAAUGUAAUA
Molecule: long non-coding RNA, 1205 nt
Organism: Camelina sativa (false flax)
Lineage: Eukaryota; Viridiplantae; Streptophyta; Magnoliopsida; Brassicales; Brassicaceae
Source: RefSeq, a predicted model, not a curated record